Molecule: ribosomal RNA, 476 nt
Filed under: Microbacterium sp. enrichment culture
Lineage: Bacteria; Bacillati; Actinomycetota; Actinomycetes; Micrococcales; Microbacteriaceae
Description: bacterial SSU rRNA
Rfam family: Bacterial small subunit ribosomal RNA
Source: RNAcentral
GUGCCAGCAGCCGCGGUAAUACGUAGGGCGCAAGCGUUAUCCGGAAUUAUUGGGCGUAAAGAGCUCGUAGGCGGUUUGUCGCGUCUGCUGUGAAAUCCCGAGGCUCAACCUCGGGUCUGCAGUGGGUACGGGCAGACUAGAGUGCGGUAGGGGAGAUUGGAAUUCCUGGUGUAGCGGUGGAAUGCGCAGAUAUCAGGAGGAACACCGAUGGCGAAGGCAGAUCUCUGGGCCGUAACUGACGCUGAGGAGCGAAAGGGUGGGGAGCAAACAGGCUUAGAUACCCUGGUAGUCCACCCCGUAAACGUUGGGAACUAGUUGUGGGGUCCAUUCCACGGAUUCCGUGACGCAGCUAACGCAUUAAGUUCCCCGCCUGGGGAGUACGGCCGCAAGGCUAAAACUCAAAGGAAUUGACGGGGACCCGCACAAGCGGCGGAGCAUGCGGAUUAAUUCGAUGCAACGCGAAGAACCUUACCAGG